CACCGCGGUUAUACGAGAGGCCCAAGUUGAUACUUUCCGGCGUAAAGAGUGGUUAUGGUAAAUUUAAACUAAGGCCGCACCCCUUCAAAGCUGUCGUACGCACUCGAAGGACGGAAGACCAACCACGAAAGUGGCUUUAUAAACCCUGACCCCACGAAAGCUAUGCCA
Molecule: ribosomal RNA, 168 nt
Filed under: Parascorpaena mcadamsi (McAdam's scorpionfish)
Lineage: Eukaryota; Metazoa; Chordata; Actinopteri; Perciformes; Scorpaenidae
Description: partial 12S rRNA
Source: RNAcentral